GAGGAAUAUUGCGCAAUGGGCGAAAGCCUGACGCAGCAACGCCGCGUGAGGGACGAAGGCCUUCGGGUCGUAAACCUCUUUUCUGGGGAAAGAGCAAGGACGGUACCUCAGGAAUAAGUCUCGGCUAACUACGUGCCAGCAGCCGCGGUAAAACGUAGGAGGCGAGCGUUAUCCGGAUUUACUGGGCGUAAAGCGCGCGCAGGCGGUUUCGUGAGUCGGACAUGAAAGCUCCUGGCGUAACUGGGAGAGGCUGUUCGAUACUGCGGGACUUGAGGUUGGGAGAGGGGUGUGGAAUUCCCGGUGUAGUGGUGGAAUGCGUAGAUAUCGGGAGGAACACCUGUGGCGAAAGCGGCACCCUGGCCCACACCUGACGCUGAGGUGCGAAAGCGUGGGGAGCAAAC
RNAcentral lists this ribosomal RNA (401 nucleotides) under uncultured bacterium. RNAcentral's name for it is "bacterial SSU rRNA". It matches the Rfam family "Bacterial small subunit ribosomal RNA", at positions 356 to 773 of the family's 1533-position model. The record is from RNAcentral.